UAGCCGUAUAUUUAAGUUGCUGCAGUUAAAAAGCUCGUAGUUGGAUUUCGGGUGGGGCACGUCGGUCCGCCGUUUCGGUGUGCACUGGCGGGGCCCACCUUGUUGCCGGGGACGGGCUCCUGGGAUUCAUUUCCUGGGACUCGGAGUCGGCGAGGUUACUUUGAGUAAAUUAGAGUGUUCAAAGCAGGCCUACGCUCUGAAUACAUUAGCAUGGAAUAACACGAUAGGACUCUGGCCUAUCCUGUUGGUCUGUAGGACCGGAGUAAUGAUUAAGAGGGACAGUCGGGGGCAUUCGUAUUUCAUUGUCAGAGGUGAAAUUCAUGGAUUUAUGAAAGACGAACUACUGCGAAAGCAUUUGCCAAGGAUGUUUUCAUUAAUCAAGAACGAAAGUUGGGGGCCUCGAAGACGAUUAGAUACCGUCCUAGUCUUUACCAUAAACGAUGCCGCUAGGGAUCGGCGGGUGUUCUUUUGAUGACCCCGCCGGCACCUUAUGAGAAAUCAAAGUUUUUGGGUUCCGGGGGGAGUAUGGUCGCAAGGCUGGAACUUAAAG
RNAcentral lists this ribosomal RNA (550 nucleotides) under Chlorella sp. RCC4. RNAcentral describes it as "SSU rRNA". It matches the Rfam family "Eukaryotic small subunit ribosomal RNA", at positions 595 to 1149 of the family's 1831-position model. The record is from RNAcentral. Lineage: Eukaryota; Viridiplantae; Chlorophyta; Trebouxiophyceae; Chlorellales; Chlorellaceae.